Molecule: ribosomal RNA, 495 nt
Filed under: uncultured bacterium
Lineage: Bacteria
Description: partial 16S ribosomal RNA
Rfam family: Bacterial small subunit ribosomal RNA
Source: RNAcentral
GGACGAACGCUGGCGGCGCGCUUAACCCAUGCAAGUCGAACGGAAAGGCCUGCUUUCCCUUGUGGAUUGCGGGUACUCGAGUGGCGAACGGGUGAGUAACACGUGAGUGAUCUGCCCCCAACUUGGGUAUAAGCCUGGGAAACUGGGUCUAAUUCCCGAUAGGACUGCAGGGUGGUGCCUGUGGUGGAAAACGAUUUUCUAGUGGUUGGGGAUGAGCUCGCGGCCUAUCAGCUUGUUGGUGGGGUAAUGGCCUACCAAGGCGGCGACGGGUAGCCGGCCUGAGAGGGUGGACGGCCACAUUGGGACUGAGAUACGGCCCAGACUCCUACGGGAGGCAGCAGUGGGGAAUAUUGCACAAUGGGCGGAAGCCUGAUGCAGCGACGCCGCGUGGGGGAUGACGGCCUUCGGGUUGUAAACUCCUUUCGACCGCGAGGAAGCCACCUGGUUGGAAGGGUGGUGACGGUAGUGGUAGAAGAAGCACCGGCUAACUACGUG